CCUACGGGAGGCUGCAGUAGGGAAUAUUGCUCAAUGGGGGAAACCCUGAAGCAGCAACGCCGCGUGGAGGAUGAAGGUUUUCGGAUUGUAAACUCCUUUUGUUAGAGAAGAUAAUGACGGUAUCUAACGAAUAAGCACCGGCUAACUCCGUGCCAGCAGCCGCGGUAAUACGGAGGGUGCAAGCGUUACUCGGAAUCACUGGGCGUAAAGAGCGCGUAGGCGGGAUAGCAAGUCAGAUGUGAAAUCCUAUGGCUUAACCAUAGAACUGCAUUUGAAACUGUUAUUCUAGAGUAUGGGAGAGGUAGGUGGAAUUCUUGGUGUAGGGGUAAAAUCCGUAGAGAUCAAGAGGAAUACUCAUUGCGAAGGCGACCUACUAGAACAUAACUGACGCUGAUGCGCGAAAGCGUGGGGAGCAAACAGGAUUAGAUACCCCUGUAGUC
This 440-nucleotide ribosomal RNA is filed under the name uncultured bacterium. RNAcentral describes it as "partial 16S ribosomal RNA". It matches the Rfam family "Bacterial small subunit ribosomal RNA", at positions 338 to 795 of the family's 1533-position model. The record is from RNAcentral.